GAGGGUAUAGCUCGAUGGUAGAGUGCCUGCUUAACAUGCACAAGGCCCUGGGUUCAAUCCCCAGUACCUCCA
RNAcentral lists this transfer RNA (72 nucleotides) under Camelus bactrianus (Bactrian camel). It matches the Rfam family "tRNA". Rfam says of the family: Transfer RNA (tRNA) molecules are approximately 80 nucleotides in length. Their secondary structure includes four short double-helical elements and three loops (D, anti-codon, and T loops). The record is from Rfam by way of RNAcentral. Lineage: Eukaryota; Metazoa; Chordata; Mammalia; Artiodactyla; Camelidae. RNAcentral also lists the same sequence under 2 other names.